AGCGAACGCUGGCGGCAGGCUUAACACAUGCAAGUCGAGCGGGCGUAGCAAUACGUCAGCGGCAGACGGGUGAGUAACACGUGGGAACGUACCUUUGGUUCGGAACAACACAGGGAAACUUGUGCUAAUACCGGAUAAGCCCUUACGGGGAAGAUUAUCGCCAAAAGAUCGGCCCGCGUCUGAUUAGCUUGUUGGUGAGGUAACGGCCCACCAAGGCGACGAUCAGUAGCUGGUCNGAGAGGAUGAUCAGCCACACUGGGACUGAGACACGGCCCAGACUCCUAC
RNAcentral lists this ribosomal RNA (285 nucleotides) under uncultured bacterium. RNAcentral describes it as "partial 16S ribosomal RNA". It matches the Rfam family "Bacterial small subunit ribosomal RNA", at positions 29 to 342 of the family's 1533-position model. The record is from RNAcentral.